UACUGAGACACGGACCAGACUCCUACGGGAGGCAGCAGUGAGGAAUAUUGGACAAUGGGCGCAAGCCUGAUCCAGCCAUGCCGCGUGCAGGAUGACGGUCCUAUGGAUUGUAAACUGCUUUUAUACGAGAAGAAACACUCCGACGUGUCGGAGCUUGACGGUAUCGUAAGAAUAAGGAUCGGCUAACUCCGUGCCAGCAGCCGCGGUAAUACGGAGGAUCCAAGCGUUAUCCGGAAUCAUUGGGUUUAAAGGGUCCGUAGGCGGUUUAAUAAGUCAGUGGUGAAAGCCCAUCGCUCAACGGUGGAACGGCCAUUGAUACUGUUAGACUUGAAUUAUUAGGAAGUAACUAGAAUAUGUAGUGUAGCGGUGAAAUGCUUAGAGAUUACAUGGAAUACCAAUUGCGAAGGCAGGUUACUACUAAUGGAUUGACGCUGAUGGACGAAAGCGUGGGUAGCGAACAGGAUUAGAUACCCUGGUAGUCCACGCCGUAAACGAUGGAUACUAGCUGUUGGAAGCAAUUUCAGUGGCUAAGCGAAAGUGAUAAGUAUCC
This 550-nucleotide ribosomal RNA is filed under the name uncultured Bacteroidota bacterium. RNAcentral's name for it is "bacterial SSU rRNA". It matches the Rfam family "Bacterial small subunit ribosomal RNA", at positions 317 to 869 of the family's 1533-position model. The record is from RNAcentral. Lineage: Bacteria; Pseudomonadati; Bacteroidota.